AUGCAGGGGAUGGCCCUUGCAUUACAACAUUCUGCGCUACCGGUGGUGGUUCAAACGGAUUCCGCUCAAGCAUUGUCUAGCUUGACAAAUGAUGCACUCCUUCGCUCGGCCUAUGGACAGAUCAUCAUGGAGAUCAAGUCACGUUUAGAUAAUAGGGAGUUUUUUCCUCAAAAGAUUAGUAGACUUCAAAAUAGAGUUGCCGAUCGGUUAGCUAAGUAUAGCCGCACCGAGCGGGCCACGGCAGUUUGGCUUGGUUCAGUUCCACCAUGUAUCGAGGAUUUGUGGCCUCUCGACUGUAACUCUAUUCCUAUGCAAUAA
Molecule: ribosomal RNA, 318 nt
Filed under: Triticum aestivum (bread wheat)
Lineage: Eukaryota; Viridiplantae; Streptophyta; Magnoliopsida; Poales; Poaceae
Description: partial small subunit ribosomal RNA
Source: RNAcentral